Molecule: ribosomal RNA, 253 nt
Filed under: uncultured bacterium
Lineage: Bacteria
Description: partial 16S ribosomal RNA
Rfam family: Bacterial small subunit ribosomal RNA
Source: RNAcentral
UACGUAGGGGGCUAGCGUUGUCCGGAAUCAUUGGGCGUAAAGAGUGCGCAGGCGGUUGAUCAAGUCGAGUGUGAAAGCCCCCGGCUCAACUGGGGAGGGUCAUUCGAUACUGAUCGACUCGAAGGCAGGAGAGGGUAGUGGAAUUCCCGGUGUAGUGGUGAAAUGCGUAGAUAUCGGGAGGAACACCAGUGGCGAAGGCGACUACCUGGCCUGUUCUUGACGCUGAGGCGCGAAAGCUAGGGGAGCAAACGGG